Molecule: small RNA, 1050 nt
Filed under: uncultured Pelagibacterales bacterium
Lineage: Bacteria; Pseudomonadati; Pseudomonadota; Alphaproteobacteria; Candidatus Pelagibacterales
Description: bacterial SSU rRNA
Rfam family: Bacterial small subunit ribosomal RNA (bases 1-658)
Source: RNAcentral
CACCGCCUGGGGAGUACGACCGCAAGGUUAAAACUCAAAUGAAUUGACGGGGACCCGCACAAGUAGUGGAGCAUGUGGUUUAAUUCGAAGAUACGCGCAGAACCUUACCAACACUUGACAUGUUCGUCGCGACUCCAAGAGAUUGGAGUUUUCGGUUCGGCCGGACGAAACACAGGUGCUGCAUGGCCGUCGUCAGCUCGUGUCGUGAGAUGUUGGGUUAAGUCCCGCAACGAGCGCAACCCUUACUUUUAGUUGCCACCAUCUAGUUGGGCACUCUGAAAGAACUGCCAGUGAUAAGCUGGAGGAAGGUGGGGAUGACGUCAAGUCCUCAUGGCCCUUAUGUGUUGGGCUACACACGUGCUACAAUGGCAUUUACAAUAGGAAGCAAGAUGGUGACAUUAAGCAAAUCCUAAAAAAAUGCCUCAGUUCGGAUUGUACUCUGCAACUCGAGUACGUGAAGCUGGAAUUACUAGUAAUCGCGGAUCAGCGUGCCGCGGUGAAUACGUUCCCGGGUCUUGUACACACCGCCCGUCACACCAUGGGAGUUGGUUCUACCUUAAGGCAAAGCUUAAAACCUUUGACCACGGUAUAGUCAGCGACUGGGGUGAAGUCGUAACAAGGUAGCCGUAGGGGAACCUGCGGCUGGAUUACCUCCUUUCUAAGGAUGAUUAAGGAUUAUUUCUUAAUCUAAAUAUUUAACAGGUUAAUGUUGACCGUCCUCAUUUCUCUUCUUGAAGUAGUGUUUCUCUUUUCUGCAUAGGGCCGGUAGCUCAGUUGGUUAGAGCACACCCUUGAUAAGGGUGGGGUCGAAAGUUCGAGUCUUCCUCGGCCCACCAAUAUUACGGGGGAUUAGCUCAGCUGGGAGAGCGCCUGAUUUGCAUUCAGGAGGUCAGCGGUUCGAUCCCGCUAUCCUCCACCAAAAUUUGAGACAUUCAGCUUUUUUAAAUUGUAAAUAUAAUUAAUAUCAAUAUCUAUAUCCGAUUGUUUUCAGAAAUUUUUUGAAAACAAUCAAAACAAAAAUUUAAUUUAUUACAGAAAAGUUUUUUUCUG